UACGUAGGGUGCAAGCGUUGUCCGGAAUUAUUGGGCGUAAAGAGCUCGUAGGCGGUUUGUCGCGUCUGCUGUGAAAACUCGGGGCUUAACUCCGGGCCUGCAGUGGGUACGGGCAGACUAGAGUGCGGUAGGGGAGACUGGAAUUCCUGGUGUAGCGGUGAAAUGCGCGAUAUCAGGAGGAACACCGGUGGCGAAGGCGGGUCUCUGGGCCGUAACUGACGCUGAGGAGCGAAAGCGUGGGGAGCGAACAGG
This 252-nucleotide ribosomal RNA is filed under the name uncultured bacterium. RNAcentral's name for it is "partial 16S ribosomal RNA". It matches the Rfam family "Bacterial small subunit ribosomal RNA", at positions 524 to 776 of the family's 1533-position model. The record is from RNAcentral.